RNAcentral lists this long non-coding RNA (1433 nucleotides) under Oncorhynchus kisutch (coho salmon). Its description in RNAcentral is "lncRNA (ENSOKIG00005014016.1)". Lineage: Eukaryota; Metazoa; Chordata; Actinopteri; Salmoniformes; Salmonidae. The record is from RNAcentral.
GAGGCUGUAAUUGCUGCCAAAUUGUGCUUCAGCAAAGUACUGAUUAAAGGGUCUGAAUACUUAUGUAAAUGUGAUUUCCUAUGUAUUUUAUUUGAUAAAUUAGCUAAAAAAUAAAAACGUAUUGCUUUGUCGUUAUUGGGUAUUGUGUGUAGAUUGAUGAGGGGGAAAACAAUUCAACAAAUUUUAGAAUAAGGUUGUAACCUAACAAAAUGGGGAAAAAGUCAAGGGGUCUGAAUACUUUCCGAAGGGGGGAGUUUUGUUAAGAUUCCCGACCCUCGGUCUGAACAUUAACAUGCAUCGCUUGCUGUACGAUUUUGGAAGCAUAAGGAUCUUAUCUUUCAUAUCAGUGAGAAACAAUAAUAAUACUUGUAAAAACGGUUAAAUUGAUUAUCUGUCUAGAAUGCUCCAAAUACCUGUGUGAAAGCACACGUUGGAUGGAGGCACCCAUAGCUGUGUAGAUAAUAUAUAAGAUUACUACAGUAAGUGUAUAUUUUUUAUUUGAAGGAUUCUUUCUCGCUGAUGAAAGAUAAGGGCCACGUUUGGAAACGCGUCGGGAUUGUAGUUCAUAAGGCGGUCGUGGGAGAAGCUAAUGGCUGAGAACCGUAGGGAGAGUUUGAGAGCUAACUAACAGCCUUGUUUUUUAUUUGAAUUUUUAUUUUAAAUCUCCUGCAAUCAUUGCCAUGCCAUAUGUGUCCACCUACUCUGCUCUGCAUCUAAUCUGACAUUAGGGGCAUGACUCAGAGAGUCCAUCCAAGACUAGCCCAACUCCUCUGGUUUUGCUAAAAUAAUAAGUAUUCAACUGUAUGACCGGCGGAAGGUAAUGACAGAUAGUUCAGCUCCUUGCCCUCAGAGUCCAGUCGUUUACCGGUCAACCGGCUUUUUAUAUCUCCACACACUUCUUUUUCCAGGUGUGAAAGGAUUCAUGGAAACAAAAGGACAUUGACCUUAUAUCCUGACAAAGAACUGAAAGCGUCAAAUACAGUAACCAGGAGCAGAAUCUCUUAAACGUGUACGGCGAUGCUCCUCCUCCCCGCAUUCUCCUACCAGCGCAACAUGCCAUCUCUGUGCUUUCAGUUUACACUGUCCAGGAGAACCACGACCUAGUCCGGCCUGUGUUCCUGAACCCGGAAUACCUGCAGAGGCUGCCAACAUUUUGGAAAGCCAAGUGCCUGAAGGAGGUCUCCUUUCUCCCUCUGGCCCUGUCCCCAUCUCCAUCCGAAGGCACCAUGUGAGCUGGUCCCUAUCCUGUCGUGAGAUGAGGACCUGGUUCUCUAUAGCCUAGGUCCUGACCUGGCCUCACCAGCACCUUUUGCUUCCUGAUGAAGUUAUGUCUGUGUCAGAGCCAUAUGUGUCUCUAUAUUUGGCCUGGUAUGUGUUCAUACAAUUCCAGUUGUUGGCAUGUACUCUGCAUUGCAAAGGUAAGCAUCUCAGAG